CAUGGAAAGACCAGUCCGAAGUGGGGCCCUGGCUGCUGGGACCUGGGGCUGAUGCUGACGUGGUCAGGAGCUGCCUGAGCCCACGUACACAAAUGGCCAGGUCAGCAGGACUGUGGUUGAAGUUCGGAGUCAAAAGUAUGUGGGACACCUGCACAGGACCAGUGAGGAGUUGGAGACUUCAACCUGUUUGAGUCAGGAUGUCUGUCGGUUUCUGCGCAGGAAUUGUCAGCAAGGCAAGGUUCUUAGCAUUUGAUCCCUACUGUAAUCUGCUUUCUCAGGCUCUCCCCAGAGCUACUGAACCAGAGAUUUGGGUGGGGCUGCAGUUCCUGUGUAUUGUGCUGUCAGGGGAUUCUGACACCCGCUAGAACAGACCCAGAACCCUGGGUCUCUCCAGCAUUGGGUUGGAAACCAUGUCUCUUGUACUAGCCAUGUGUCUUGUACUCUUAUAUUAGCC
Molecule: long non-coding RNA, 454 nt
Filed under: Heterocephalus glaber (naked mole-rat)
Lineage: Eukaryota; Metazoa; Chordata; Mammalia; Rodentia; Bathyergidae
Description: lncRNA (ENSHGLG00100046207.1)
Source: RNAcentral